Molecule: ribosomal RNA, 445 nt
Filed under: uncultured bacterium
Lineage: Bacteria
Description: partial 16S ribosomal RNA
Rfam family: Bacterial small subunit ribosomal RNA
Source: RNAcentral
GUGAGGAAUAUUGGUCAAUGGGCGGAAGCCUGAACCAGCCAUCCCGCGUGGAGGAAGACGGCCCUAUGGGUUGUAAACUUCUUUUCAAGGGGAAGAAAGUUCGCGACGUGUCGCGAUUUGCCGGUACCUUUGGAAUAAGCAUCGGCUAACUCCGUGCCAGCAGCCGCGGUAAUACGGAGGAUGCGAGCGUUAUCCGGAUUUAUUGGGUUUAAAGGGUGCGUAGGCCGAUCGAUACGUCAGCGGUGAAAUACCAUGGCCCAACCAUGGAACUGCCGUUGAUACUGUCGGUCUUGAAUAUGGUCAAGGUAGGCGGAAUGUGUAAUGUAGCGGUGAAAUGCUUAGAUAUUACACAGAACACCGAUUGCGAAGGCAGCUUACUGGUCCAUUAUUGACGCUGAGGCACGAAAGCGUGGGGAUCGAACAGGAUUAGAAACCCUAGUAGUCC